This 253-nucleotide ribosomal RNA is filed under the name uncultured bacterium. Its description in RNAcentral is "partial 16S ribosomal RNA". It matches the Rfam family "Bacterial small subunit ribosomal RNA", at positions 524 to 776 of the family's 1533-position model. The record is from RNAcentral.
UACGUAGGGUGCGAGCGUUGUCCGGAAUUAUUGGGCGUAAAGAGCUCGUAGGCGGUUUGUCACGUCUGCUGUGAAAUCCCGAGGCUCAACCUCGGGCCUGCAGUGGGUACGGGCAGACUGGAGUGCGGUAGGGGUGACUGGAAUUCCUGGUGUAGCGGUGGAAUGCGCAGAUAUCAGGAGGAACACCGAUGGCGAAGGCAGGUCACUGGGCCGCAACUGACGCUGAGGAGCGAAAGCAUGGGGAGCGAACAGG